UGAGGGUCAGAGCCAGCUGCCCUGCUGCCCAGCCCUUGAGGACACAGAGUCACACUCCUCUCCCACCCUCAAGUGCCUCGUGAACCCCUCUCUCCAGGAGGAGGGCAUCAUGACGCACUAGACCUGGCUGCAGGUGGUGAGUGAAUGUAGCUGCGCCCUGAGCAGAGGGGAGAGGGGCCAUGAGGAGGCUGUUUUGGGGCCCUUCUGGAGCAGGGCCGGAGAAGGGUAGGAGAUUGAAGAGGGUGAGUGAGAAAAGGCUGGACAGGACUAGGGCAGCUCCUCAACCCACCCCCAGGCACCCUCCCCUUCGCGCUGGACCUGGCUUUCCUUGAGGGGAGGAGGGAGUUUGUCCCCUUGAUCUGUGUGGCGCCUCUCCCCAGCACAGUGCUGCAAGUGCAACCAGCGGAAAUGCCCAGCCCCGGGACCAGGGGACUAGGGACAGGAGCCUACCCUGUGCGGCUCUGAGGAGUGGCUGUGAGCACUGCACGCAGGACUGAGAAAGCCCGGGAUAAGCCCGGAGUGCAGGGAAACCCGCAGCCCCCUGGGCAGAUGUGGAGAAGAAUCUGGACAAGCUGACCGAGACCCCGGUACCGGGGGUCUCCGUGUGUGCCUGGCUGCGUGAUCAGGUGACCCCAGACUCUGAGGGCGUGGAACUGCUUUUGCCAGGAAAGCGCUCUGGGCAUGCUGUGUAGGGGUGAAUUACCCUUACCCCCUUCACCAAGACCCAGAACUGCCUUUCCUAGGGGUGAAGUAAGGUUUCCAGGGCCUCAUGUUGCAGAAAAAAAGAACCCUAAAUUAACAUACAGAGAGAUUAAAUUAUCUCCAUUCCCAAUCUGGCAUAUUUCCUAAACCUUAAAUAAUUUGAGAGGCUUCCAUGUGGGCUUCUGAGAAACAGGAGGGCAGCUGGGAGAACUUCCCACGCCCACAAGCCUUUGUGUGAAAAUCCCUAAAAAUAGAGGUUGUUCUUCUAAAAACAAAAGGGAAGGCUAAGCCAUGGGAACACUGACAGAACCUAACCUCUCGCUUCUGCUCCAGCAAAGACGCGUGUGAAGAUAUAGAACAUCAUAUUUGCCAUUUUUACCAUUUUAACUGUACAGUUCAGUGGUAUUAAUCACACACAAUAUUGUCCAACCAUCAUCGCUAUUUCCAAAACUUUCAUCGUCCCCAAUAGACACUCUGUACCCACUAAGUACUAACUCCCCGUUUCGUCUACCCUCAGAGGUAACUCCCCUCAUCUACUUCCCGUCUCUAUGGAUUUACCUAUUUUGUGUAUUUCAUGUAAGUAGAAUCAUACAAUACUUGUCCUUUUGUGUCUGGCUUACUUCACUCAGCAUAAUGUCCUCAAGGUUCAUCCAUGUUGUAGCAUGUGUCAGAAUUUCAUUCCCAGCAAAGAAAUUUUUAAUAACCCAUCUCUGCCAGAAAAAAAGACCCCCCAAAAGUUACAGAUUAACCAUCUGUGAACAAAGGAUGAAUGGGCGGACAGGCUGACACAGUCACGUUACUGGAAUCCAUUAUGCAGUCACCGCUUGGCAUCUGCAGGAAAUUAGUUCCAGGCCCCCUGACCAAUACCAAAAUGCGUAGAUGCUUAAGUCCCUGAUAUAAAGUGAUGUAGUAUUUGCAUUUAACCUACACACAUCCUCCCACAUACUUUAAGUCAUCUCCAGAUUACGUAUAAUACCUAAUUCAAGGCCAGGCACAGUAGCUCACACCUGUAAUUCCAGCACUUUGGAAUUACAAAAAUUCCAAAUCUCCAGGCCAAGGUGAGAGGAUCACGUGAGCCCAGGAAUUCAAGACCAGCUUGGGCAACACGGUGAGAGCCUAUUCUUUUCCCCA
RNAcentral lists this long non-coding RNA (1833 nucleotides) under Homo sapiens (human). Its description in RNAcentral is "HSALNT0059831". The record is from RNAcentral. Lineage: Eukaryota; Metazoa; Chordata; Mammalia; Primates; Hominidae.